GUGCUCACCUAGGCAGCACAUAAACCAAAACUGGAUCAAUGCCGAGGAGGAAAAAACGUACAUGGCCCCUGUGCGAGAAUGACAUGCAAAUUUGGGAAAUGUCCUAUAUUUUU
RNAcentral lists this small nuclear RNA (113 nucleotides) under Otolemur garnettii (small-eared galago). The record is from RNAcentral. Lineage: Eukaryota; Metazoa; Chordata; Mammalia; Primates; Galagidae.